AAACUUUCAACAACGGAUCUCUUGGUUCUCGCAUCGAUGAAGAACGCAGCGAAAUGCGAUAAGUAAUAUGAAUUGCAGAUAUUCGUGAAUCAUCGAAUCUUUGAACGCACAUUGCGCCUUUUGGUAUUCCAGAAGGCAUGCUUGUUUGAGCGUCAUUU
Molecule: ribosomal RNA, 158 nt
Filed under: Insectozyma corydali
Lineage: Eukaryota; Fungi; Ascomycota; Pichiomycetes; Serinales; Debaryomycetaceae
Description: Candida corydali 5.8S ribosomal RNA
Rfam family: 5.8S ribosomal RNA
About the family: 5.8S ribosomal RNA (5.8S rRNA) is a component of the large subunit of the eukaryotic ribosome. It is transcribed by RNA polymerase I as part of the 45S precursor that also contains 18S and 28S rRNA.
Source: RNAcentral